UUUUAUGGAGAGUUUGAUCCUGGCUCAGAGUGAACGCUGGCGGCGUGCCUAAUACAUGCAAGUCGAACGAUGAAGCUUUUAGCUUGCUAGAAGUGGAUUAGUGGCGCACGGGUGAGUAAGGUAUAGUUAAUCUGCCCUACACAAGAGGACAACAGUUGGAAACGACUGCUAAUACUCUAUACUCCUGCUUAACACAAGUUGAGUAGGGAAAGUUUUUCGGUGUAGGAUGAGACUAUAUAGUAUCA
RNAcentral lists this ribosomal RNA (245 nucleotides) under Campylobacter jejuni. RNAcentral describes it as "partial 16S ribosomal RNA". It matches the Rfam family "Bacterial small subunit ribosomal RNA", at positions 1 to 243 of the family's 1533-position model. Lineage: Bacteria; Pseudomonadati; Campylobacterota; Epsilonproteobacteria; Campylobacterales; Campylobacteraceae. The record is from RNAcentral.